Molecule: small nuclear RNA, 142 nt
Filed under: Suricata suricatta (meerkat)
Lineage: Eukaryota; Metazoa; Chordata; Mammalia; Carnivora; Herpestidae
Description: U2 spliceosomal RNA (ENSSSUG00005005329.1)
Rfam family: U2 spliceosomal RNA
About the family: U2 is a small nuclear RNA (snRNA) component of the spliceosome (involved in pre-mRNA splicing). Complementary binding between U2 snRNA (in an area lying towards the 5' end but 3' to hairpin I) and the branchpoint sequence (BPS) of the intron results the bulging out of an unpaired adenosine, on the BPS, which initiates a nucleophilic attack at the intronic 5' splice site, thus starting the first of two transesterification reactions that mediate splicing.
Source: Rfam by way of RNAcentral
AUCGCUUCCCGGCCUUUUGGCUAAGAUCAAGUGUUGUAUCUGUUCUUAUCAGUCUAUUUGUGCUUUGGCCAUUGUUGUGUGCACACUUGGAAGACGAUUAAAAAAAUGACAAUUCAUUCCAGUCUCUUAUUUGAGACAUCUG